This 1076-nucleotide long non-coding RNA is filed under the name Mus spretus (western wild mouse). RNAcentral's name for it is "lncRNA (ENSMSPG00010043908.1)". Lineage: Eukaryota; Metazoa; Chordata; Mammalia; Rodentia; Muridae. The record is from RNAcentral.
GCGGCCCACAAGGGCAGUAGCUAGGAAGGCUGUGCCUGCUGGGGGUUGGGUGAGACGAAACCAGGGAACCCCCCUCCAGGAGGCAUGCGGGACUCUGACCUCUCAUUUGGGGGUGCCCCCUAGCCUUCUCUACACACCUCCUCCCCCGCUUCCUACCCCACCCAAAUCUGCGCGCUCAAGAAGCAGCCAAACUUGAGAACUGUGUUGCUGCUUCCUCAGGCAAAUGAUUUCUUCUGUAAAUGUCUUCUUGACAUGUCUAUGAAGAGACAUCCUCAGAGCCAAACUGCCUUCAUCUUCAUCAGAUCUGUUUGCAAGAGAUAGUCAUAGCUGACCAUGUUAACUGUGACCUACUUUUAUAUAAGGGGCACAGUGCGUAUCCAGGCACCCCUCCAAGCUAGCUGUAUGAAAAUCUAAUUGUACAAAUUGUGAGUCUGUGAUGGCUAAUCUUGGUUGUCAACUUGAAGACAUCUAGAAUCAACUGAAUCCCAAGCAGCUAGGUGUUGAGAAAUUUUCAUGAUUGAAUCAUCUGAGGUCAGAAGACUCACUCUAAAGCUGGGCUACACCUUCUGAUGGCAUCCCGCAUAAAAGCACACGGAAUAAGGAAAGCUUUGAUUUUUGCCUGCUUGUCCUCACUCUUACUGGCAAGUUCAUCUACUCUGCUGCUGUGGCAUUCUUUCACUGGUGUUAGAACCUACUUCUUCAUGACUGAAGACUAGCUAAGAUAUCCAGCCAUGUGGACUGAAUAACUACUAAAUUUAUGGCCUUUUUUUUGUAGCGAGAGAUAUUUAUUGUUGGACUAGACAGAUGACAGCCUGUUAGCCACUCUAAUAAAUUACCUUUAGUAUAAUAUUCUUUCUAUCAGUUCUGUUUCUUUAGAGAUCCCUGAUUAAUACAGAGAAGCUGGAGUAUAUAGAUGAGAAAAGGACUAGGGCAGGAAGCUCCAUCUAUGUAGCCUCAGGGAAGUUAUCAGCCAUACUGGGUACAGAUCAUCCAGUGUGGCUUAAGGCUACCCAUAUGACUACCUGUAACACCUCACCCAUUGCUAUGUAAUAAGCCUAAUAAAGUCGUUGGUUUCC